Molecule: long non-coding RNA, 661 nt
Organism: Chinchilla lanigera (long-tailed chinchilla)
Lineage: Eukaryota; Metazoa; Chordata; Mammalia; Rodentia; Chinchillidae
Exons: 3
Source: RefSeq, a predicted model, not a curated record
UACAGGAUUAUUAAAUUCAUGUUGAUUGGAGGACUCAAGUUGGAGUCCUGGAUCCACCACUCUUUCACUGGAGCAAGGCAUUUUCCCUCCAAGAAGGCAGAAGCACUGCCUAAGGCAUGAAGCUGGUGGAGAGGAGAGAAUGCCUCCUGAAGACCUAUGCCUGCAUGUUACUCUGAGGGGCGUUUAAUGUACAUUUCCUGAAUACUGAUAGACUUAGCACAGAGCAGUGGAAUUUUCCAGAGACUGCAAGAUGCGUGGCUUCGCAACAGAUUGAAGGCUGAAGCAGAUGUGAGAAUCCAGCCCUUGUCUACUGAACUAGACAUCCUUGUAGAGCUGCCACGUUCUGAGCAGAUUUCUUCUGCCAGACCCUUGCACUGUGCCUUCCUGCCUUGGAGCCAGCCAACUCUGAACUGAAAAACGUGAGCUCAAGUAAAGCUCUCCUUCAAGUUGUGGCUUCAUAACCAGGACUGGGGGUGCCACCACGGAAGGGAGACUGGAGGAGGCAUGCCACAGAAUGCGGGCAGCCUCUAGGGACUGGAAGAAAACAAGAGAAUAAAUUCUGUGCUAGAACCUCCAGAGGGAGGGGGUCGACCUCUUUUAGAUAUCCGACCUGUAGAAGAGCAAACUGAUAAAUUUGCUGUUUUAAGCCACUCAAUUCGUG